This 281-nucleotide ribosomal RNA is filed under the name Bacillus licheniformis. RNAcentral describes it as "partial 16S ribosomal RNA". It matches the Rfam family "Bacterial small subunit ribosomal RNA", at positions 1 to 271 of the family's 1533-position model. The record is from RNAcentral. Lineage: Bacteria; Bacillati; Bacillota; Bacilli; Caryophanales; Bacillaceae.
UUCAUGGAGAGUUUGAUCCUGGCUCAGGACGAACGCUGGCGGCGUGCCUAAUACAUGCAAGUCGAGCGGACCGACGGGAGCUUGCUCCCUUAGGUCAGCGGCGGACGGGUGAGUAACACGUGGGUAACCUGCCUGUAAGACUGGGAUAACUCCGGGAAACCGGGGCUAAUACCGGAUGCUUGAUUGAACCGCAUGGUUCAAUCAUAAAAGGUGGCUUUUAGCUACCACUUACAGAUGGACCCGCGGCGCAUUAGCUAGUUGGUGAGGUAACGGCUCACCAA